CAAAAACAUCGCCUCUUGCAAAAUCAAAAAAUAAGAGGUCCCGCCUGCCCUGUGACAAUUAGUUUAACGGCCGCGGUAUUUUGACCGUGCGAAGGUAGCGCAAUCACUUGUCUCUUAAAUGGGGACCUGUAUGAAUGGCAUAACGAGGGCUUAACUGUCUCCUUUUCCUAUUCAAUGAAAUUGAUCUCCCCGUGCAGAAGCGGGGAUUAAAACAUAAGACGAGAAGACCCUAUGGAGCUUUAGACGCCAGGAAAGACCAUGUUAAACACCCACGAAUAAAGAACUAAACUAAAUGGCCCCUUUCCCCAUGUCUUUGGUUGGGGCGACCACGGGGAAAUACAAAACCCCCACGAGGAUCGGGGACACCCACUCCUAAAACCAAGAGCGACAGCUCUAAGUAUCAGAAUAUCUGACCAGAAAGAUCCGGCAAAAGCCGAUCAACGAACCGAGUUACCCUAGGGAUAACAGCGCAAUCCCCUUCUAGAGCCCACAUCGACAAGGGGGUUUACGACCUCGAUGUUGGAUCAGGACAUCCUAAUGGUGUAGCCGCUAUUAAGGGUUCGUUUGUUCAACGAUUAAAGUCCUACGUGAUCU
Molecule: ribosomal RNA, 594 nt
Filed under: Diancistrus tongaensis
Lineage: Eukaryota; Metazoa; Chordata; Actinopteri; Ophidiiformes; Bythitidae
Description: partial 16S ribosomal RNA
Rfam family: Bacterial large subunit ribosomal RNA
Source: RNAcentral